This 441-nucleotide ribosomal RNA is filed under the name uncultured bacterium. Its description in RNAcentral is "bacterial SSU rRNA". It matches the Rfam family "Bacterial small subunit ribosomal RNA", at positions 355 to 786 of the family's 1533-position model. The record is from RNAcentral.
UAGGGAAUAUUGCACAAUGGGGGAAACCCUGAUGCAGCGACGCCGCGUGCGGGAGGAAGCCCUUCGGGGUGUAAACCGCUGUCAGGGGGGAAGAAACCCAAGGGUUCGAACAGGGCCUUUGGCUGACGGUACCCCCAGAGGAAGCGCCGGCUAACUCCGUGCCAGCAGCCGCGGUAAGACGGAGGGCGCGAGCGUUGUUCGGAAUUACUGGGCGUAAAGCGCGCGCAGGCGGACGGUGCAAGUCAGGGGUGAAAUUCUGGGGCUCAACCCCGGAGCUGCUCUUGAUACUGCCUGUCUAGGGACCGGUAGGGGCCGGUGGAAUUCCCGGUGUAGCGGUGGAAUGCGUAGAGAUCGGGAAGAACACCCGUGGCGAAGGCGGCCGGCUGGGCCGGAUCCGACGCUGAGGCGCGAAAGCGUGGGGAGCAAACAGGAUUAGAUACC